GCACAUGCCUUAAACGGUAAAGCCGCGAAUGGCUCGGUAUAACAGCUGUUGUUUACUAGACCAUAGUUUUUUACUUGGAUAACUGUGGCAAUUCUAGAGCUAAUACAUGCACGAAAGCUCGGACCCUCGUGGAAAGAGCGCAUUUAUUAGACCAAAACCAAUCGAGUGCUUCGGUGCUUGUUUUUUGGUGACUCUGAAUAACUUAGUUGAUCGCACAGUCUUAGUACUGGCGACGUAUCUUUCAAAUGUCUGCCUUAUCAACUUUCGAUGGUAGGUUAUAUGCCUACCAUGGUUAUAACGGGUAACGGAGAAUUAGGGUUCGACUCCGGAGAGGGAGCCUGAGAAACGGCUACCACAUCCAAGGAAGGCAGCAGGCGCGCAAAUUACCCAAUCCCAGAACGGGGAGGUAGUGACGAAAAAUAACAAAACAGUCCACUCUGUGGCCUGUUAUCGGAAUGGGUACAAUUUAAAUCUUUUAACGAGGAUCUAUUAGAGGGCAAGUCUGGUGCCAGCAGCCGCGGUAAUUCCAGCUCUAAUAGCGUAUAUUAAAGUUGUUGUGGUUAAAACGCCCGUAGUUGGUUCUUCGGUCUCGAAGCUUGGUAGCUCGAAUGAGCUUAACUGAGUCUUCCGGCCUAUAUUUCUUGUACUCUCCCGAUGCUCUUUAUUGAGUGUCUCGAGAUGCUAGAACGUUUACUUUGAAAAAAUUAGAGUGCUAAAAGCAGGCUAUACGCUUGAAUAAAGUGCAUGGAAUAAUGGAAUAGGACUUUAGUUUUAUUUUGUUGGUUUUCGAAAUUAAAGUAAUGAUUAAGAGGAACAGACGGGGGCAUUCGUAUUGUUGCGUUAGAGGUGAAAUUCUUGGAUCGCAGCAAGACGAACAACUGCGA
RNAcentral lists this ribosomal RNA (884 nucleotides) under Mylonchulus sp. MZM 4. RNAcentral's name for it is "SSU rRNA". It matches the Rfam family "Eukaryotic small subunit ribosomal RNA", at positions 63 to 948 of the family's 1831-position model. The record is from RNAcentral. Lineage: Eukaryota; Metazoa; Nematoda; Enoplea; Mononchida; Mylonchulidae.